Molecule: small nucleolar RNA, 124 nt
Organism: Pipistrellus kuhlii (Kuhl's pipistrelle)
Lineage: Eukaryota; Metazoa; Chordata; Mammalia; Chiroptera; Vespertilionidae
Product: small nucleolar RNA SNORA33
Exons: 1
Source: RefSeq, a predicted model, not a curated record
AAGCCAGCCGAUAAGUCUGCUUACCUGAAUGUGCUCUGCAGAAACUUAGAGAAAGCUGGCCAUAGGAAAGCCAUGUGGUGAGCCUUAAAGACACUGAAGUCACUGAAACCGGUGUGGCUCAGUG